AGCAUGUGGUUUAAUUCGAAGCAACGCGAAGAACCUUACCAAAUCUUGACAUCCUUUGACAACUCUAGAGAUAGAGCUUUCCCCUUCGGGGGACAAAGUGACAGGUGGUGCAUGGUUGUCGUCAGCUCGUGUCGUGAGAUGUUGGGUUAAGUCCCGCAACGAGCGCAACCCUUAAGCUUAGUUGCCAUCAUUAAGUUGGGCACUCUAAGUUGACUGCCGGUGACAAACCGGAGGAAGGUGGGGAUGACGUCAAAUCAUCAUGCCCCUUAUGAUUUGGGCUACACACGUGCUACAAUGGACAAUACAAAGGGCAGCGAAACCGCGAGGUCAAGCAAAUCCCAUAAAGUUGUUCUCAGUUCGGAUUGUAGUCUGCAACUCGACUACAUGAAGCUGGAAUCGCUAGUAAUCGUAGAUCAGCAUGCUACGGUGAAUACGUUCCCGGGUCUUGUACACACCGCCCGUCACACCACGAGAGUUUGUAACACCCGAAGCCGGUGGAGUAACCUUUUAGGAGCUAGCCGUCGAAGGUGGGACAAAUGAUUGGGGUGAAGUCGUAACAAGGUAGCCGUAUCGGAAGGUGCGGCUGGAUCACCUCCUUU
This 599-nucleotide ribosomal RNA is filed under the name Staphylococcus aureus. RNAcentral's name for it is "bacterial SSU rRNA". It matches the Rfam family "Bacterial small subunit ribosomal RNA", at positions 936 to 1533 of the family's 1533-position model. The record is from RNAcentral. Lineage: Bacteria; Bacillati; Bacillota; Bacilli; Caryophanales; Staphylococcaceae.